RNAcentral lists this ribosomal RNA (395 nucleotides) under uncultured bacterium. RNAcentral's name for it is "partial 16S ribosomal RNA". It matches the Rfam family "Bacterial small subunit ribosomal RNA", at positions 523 to 918 of the family's 1533-position model. The record is from RNAcentral.
AUACGUAGGGUGCAAGCGUUAAUCGGAAUUACUGGGCGUAAAGCGUGCGCAGGCGGCUUUGUAAGACAGAGGUGAAAUCCCCGGGCUCAACCUGGGAACUGCCUUUGUGACUGCAAGGCUAGGGUACGGCAGAGGGGGAAGGAAUUCCGCGUGUAGCAGUGAAAUGCGUAGAUAUGCGGAGGAACACCGAUGGCGAAGGCAAUCCCCUGGGCCUGUACUGACGCUCAUGCACGAAAGCGUGGGGAGCAAACAGGAUUAGAUACCCUGGUAGUCCACGCCCUAAACGAUGUCAACUGGUUGUUGGGUCUUCAUUGACUCAGUAACGAAGCUAACGCGUGAAGUUGACCGCCUGGGGAGUACGGCCGCAAGGUUGAAACUCAAAUGAAUUGACGGGG